Molecule: unclassified non-coding RNA, 166 nt
Filed under: rhizosphere metagenome
Description: partial ribosomal RNA internal transcribed spacer region
Source: RNAcentral
GUAGGGCUUCGGCCCUGUCGAGAUAGAACCCUUGCCUUUUUAAGUACCCUUCGUUUCCUCGGCGGCUCGCCUGCCAAUGGGGACCCCAAAAAACACUUUGCAGUACCUGUAACAGUCUGAAAAACAAACAAAAAUUAAAACUUUCAACAACGGAUCUCUUGGUUCU